ACCGGAUUAGGUUUACAGCAUAUUACCGUACAAUCCAGAAUAAUCAAUAAUAAAUAGUAUCAAGUUGCCUAUUUAAUUAAUAGAAUUUAAUUAUAAUUUGAAUCAGAGAAAGAUGUACAUUUAUGGGCCUUAAAACGAGCCUACGAGGCCUUAAAAUUAGUUUAGGAACAAUUAAGGACCAAUUCGAAAUAAAUUAGAAAGUUUAAGGAAAAAUUUAAAAGUUUCAAAAUAAAGGUCACACAGCCAUGUGAGACAGCCCAGACCGUGGUUCCAGACAUCGUCGUGUGGCCAACUAUGUGACAGACCAUGUACCCUUCGAAAUAAUUUCACACGGCCGUUUCGUAGACUGUGUGCUAGCCUGUGUAACAUUCAAAACACCCUCACACAGCCAUGUCAUAGGCCGUGUGCUAGACCGUGUUCAAUUUGAUGUUAGGUCACACAGCUGUGUCAUAAGCCGUAUGCCAGCCCGUGUGAAAACUACACUAACAAAUUUAGGGCACACGCCCAUAUGUGACACACGGCCAUGUGACAGCCUAUGCCCGAGGCCAUAUGUACCCAAAAAUGACCAAAAUCAUGCUAUCUUACUUUUUUGCAAUUGCAUAGGAACCCAGACCAAGUCAUCCCAAUCCAACACAUAUCUAGAAACAUUUCAUAUAUUCAUUUACCCUAUUACAUGCCAUAUAAAUCAAGAUGUUUACAAAAUCUAGCAUAAAGAGUCCUGGGAUAAUGUGAUUCUUCAAGUCAAUUCGAUCUCCCAAUUACAAAAUGCAAUCUAGGAAACAAACACAAAACAGGAGUAAGCUUGCUUGAAGCUUUAUAAGUUUGCUAAAUCAAACGAUAAUCUUACUAAAUUUAAACAUAACAUAUCAAAUUAUACGAUUAAAUAACUAAGUUCAAGUCAACCACAGCCCACAACAAGUGAGUAUUGUACAGUACAUUAGUUUAAUUCAUAUUCCAAUUCAUCAUUUAGUAAGAUCUCAGGUCAACAAUAUCCAAUACGAAUUGUUAAAGCGGCACGAAACCUACUAAGCAUCAAGCCCGAUAAACACCGGAACGAAGCCUACUAGGCUCAAAGCCCAAUAAACACCAGCACGAAUCCUGCUAGGCUCAAAGCCCGAUAAGUCACCAGCAUGAGGCCUACUAGGCUCAAAGCCCAAUACAAUACACUGGCAUAAAGCCUACUAGGCCCAAGGCCCAAUACAAUACACCGCCAUAACAACUCAGUUCUAUUAUAUAUUCCUGGCAAUCAACAUUCAACUUUAUAAUAUUGAAGCUAAAAGAGUAAAUCCAAUAAUAAAGAAUAAAAUAUAACCAUAUAUAUAUAUAAUACGAACAUCGAACUUACAAAACCAAUUUGUAAUAAUAGCUCAAAUACAAGAACUAUUCAUCAGUAGGACAUCUAACGACAACACCUGAAACUAUAUAACCCUAAUGAUCUGUCCUUUGUGUUCCAAGUAUUUACGAGGUUCAUAUGGUUCAUAUGCCAUGUCCAUUUCAAUUAACUUUCUUUACAUUAUACCAUUACGAGCAUACAUCUAUAUAGUUCUUAUUUAUCAGACAUAACACCGAAUUAGCUAAUAAUGCAAUUUAGUUCAAUUUACUAAUUGUCAUAUAUCAAUCAAUUUGAUUCAUUCAUAACAUAAAUAAUAACAAUCAUAUCAUAUAAUCAUUUAAGCAUUUCUUUGUCACAUGAAUUCAAUUCUACAAUUUAAUAUUUACUAUACAAGCAAAUUUAAAUACAAUAUACUUAAAUUAUUCAAUAAUUCAAAGAACAGUUAUAACACUCCUUACCCAUAUUCGAUGCCGAAAUAGGGUACGUGGCAUUACUAGACUUAAACACAAGCGAACAUAAAAUUUCGAGUCAUAAAUUUGGCACCAAAUUAAAAAUUUUUAACAAUCAAUCAUAUCUUCCCUAAAACAAGCCUAUAAGGCCCAAAACAUGCAUUAGGAGUGGUUUGGGACUAAACCGAGAACUUUAGAAAAUUUUACAACACCUAGAAAAUUUUUCACUAAACAAGGGUCACACGCCCGUGUGGAUAUAGGAGACGCCCAUAUGGGCGGGCCGUGUGGUCACACACGCUUGUGUCCCUAAUUUGUGUAACUCUCUGUUUAUCACCCAAGAGCAAAAGAAAAUCACACAGCCAGGGCACACGCCCAUGUUCCAGGGUUGUGUCCUUCACACUACUAAGACACAUGCCUUUGUCUCUGCUUGUGUGCUCAAUUUUGAGCAAUUCUGUUUUGCAAUAAUUUAGGGUGCAGGGGACACAGGGCCAGAUCACAUGCCCAUAGGGUUGACUGUGUGUCACACAUGGCCUAGACACACACCCGUGUGUCUACCAGUGUAGACAAAAAAAAUAAGGCUAUUUACCAAGCCAUUUUGCCACCCCCACUUGCGCACAUCUACACAACAUCACAUGGCACAAAUUCAAGCAUGUAAGAGCAACCAAACAAUCACAACCAAGACAAUAACAUGUCAUUUUCACACCAUUAUUAAACAUACUUAAAACAUCAACAUUUCUAUAACGCUCAGGUUUGUGCAAGUGUACACAGUUGUUAUCAAGUAAUAAGUAAGUAUCGAGUUAUCAUCUCCACAGGGAUUGUAUUAGUGCUAAGUCACUUAAUUAUAAAAAUAUUAUUAACAACUUGGUAAAUAGAAACACAAUUUGAUUUGGAAGUAUUGAUUAAAAUUAUGUAAAAUUAAUCUAGAUGCAAUGAUCCCUAAUGUGAUUUAUCCUAACAUGCAACUAUAUGAAUGAAAUAGAUUUUUUUAGAAUUAACACAAUAAGCAACAAUUAUAACAUAAAUAAGCUAGGACAAUUACUUUAAUUAAACUCAAACUAUUAUCAACAUGCUUAUCAAUAUUCGAAAAAACAUUCCAUGGCAACUCGAUCUUUCAUAAGUUUGGAAACCAUAUUGGGUCCUUUCGGAAUCCUUUACUUAGUAAAUACGCAUUUUACUGAUCCUUAUUUACUAAGAGUUUCUUAGUAUUCGUGCGAGGUAACAAGGAUGUGUUAGGUUUGAAACAGUUUAAUCACACAAAUUUAAAAACUAUGCAGAUAACAGAGCCUGGUUAGGGUUGUUAUGUAACCUACAAUUUAAUCAAGUUAGGAUCUAAAUUGAGCAUGCACAUUUCAAUUAUGUCUCCAUUAGUCGUCGUUUGGUUAGGAUCACUCAGCUAAUUCAGAUGCAUUUCAAUCACGUAUAAACGAAAUACAGACUUGAUUUUAAUUGAAAACAUGAUCGAUUGGGGCACAAACAUUAUAAGCAUGAAUCAAAUAAUUAUUAUCUAAUCAAAACAGUCAUCCUAACUUAAAUAAAAUUAAGCUACCAUUGUUGUAAACAAGAACAGUAAACACAUAGAAAACAUUCUUGAAUUAAGUUAAAGAAAAGAAUGAUUAAACCCAAAUCAAAGUGGCUGUCACCUAAGACUCUAACUGAUGAGGGCCCUUUCGCUCCUUCGUUUUGCUCCUUUGCUAAUGGCUCUCCUAGGUGGCCAACCAAGGGCUUUUUAAUAGGCUAAUUUGCUAAAAAUCCUUAUGUAAAGAUGAUGAUAGGUGUGAGGGGGAAAGAAAGCUAAGAGAGGAGACAAGGAUGAAUGAGUGAGGGAUGAUGGAUAAGUGAGAAAUGGGGUCUUAUUUAUAGGUGAGGCAAGGGAGCUAGUUUGCUAAAAAUAGGAGUGUCCAUCAUUUGAAACUUCAUCCAAGAGUGGCCGGCCAUGAUUUGUGGGAUUGUGGUGUUUUUUGCUUGAUUUAAAUGCCACAACAUCAUCAGGAUCAAGACUCGGUCAAUUGCAAAUCUCCAAGUAAAUAUUCGAUUUCUUCAACUCUUCAAGGACCUUGUGUAAUUAAACCAAAAUUUGAUUUAUGAACAUCGACAUGCAGCCGAAUUUUGGGUUGACUUUGUCCUCCACUUAGAUGGUUUUGUAAUCAGCAUAAAGCUCUCAGACCUAUCCAACAAUAGUAGAUAAUUUAGAGGACCAAAGAAUAUAAUUUAACCACUUUAAUUAAUCAAUUUACUUAAUUAAUUAAAAUCCAAUUUAUUAAUGAAAUAUAUUAAAAUAAGUCAUUAAAUAUAAAUUUAUAUUUUAUUAUUUAAUUUAAUCAUGCAUGGCCCACUUUAUAGCUUGAAUAUAUAAUAUGCUAAAAUUAAUAUAAAAGAAGUCAUUUCUACAUGAAAACUAUAUAAUAAAGCAUAAAAUCACAUUUUAAUAAUUUCUAUGUCCCAAUUUCAUAUUUUCAUAUAUUUCAUUAACUUAUUAAACAAUUACUUGGUUUUAACAACAAAUUUAAGUAAAAAAGGUGACAAAUUAUAUAGGAAAAAUCCUAUAUAUUUUUCAAUUUACAGAUAUCAGAAUAGAGAUCACGGAAAGCAAUACACCAACCCUAAAGCUCAAGCCACAUCGGAAGUGUUGGUAAUGUAAAAGAUGUUAAACUGGAGUGUCAACAGUGUAGAAGACAGCAUUUUGGAGAUUGCUGGGUGAAAAAUAAUAAUAGAACUUGUUAUAGUUGUGGUUCACGAGAUCACUUUAUUAAAGAUUUCCCAGAGGUAGUUGAAAAAGAUAAUGUUCAGAACACGAGGCUGAGUAACACUGCAGUUAGAGGUAAACCAUCCAGAAACACAGGAAAUGUGAGUGGUGGUAGAGGUGUGACACGAGACACUGCCGCGAGAUCUAAUGCUAGAGCACCUGCACGAGCAUAUGCCAUUUGUGCUCGCGAAGAAGCGUCAUCUCCAGAUGUUAUUACUGGUAUUUUUACUCUCUAUGAUACUAAAGUUAUUGCAUUGAUAGAUCCAGGUCUACUCAUUCGUAUAUAUGUAUAAAUUUAGUAUCCAGUAAGAUUUGCCUGCAGAGUCUACUGAAUUUGAAAUUAAAGUAUCGAACCCCUUAAGCAAGUGUGUGUUGGUUGAUAAAGUGUACAAGAACUGUCCAUUGAUGAUUCGAGAUUUCUGCUUUCCAGCUUAUCUGAUUUUAUUACCCUUUGAUGAAUUUGAUAUAAUUCUGGGUAUGGAUUGGCUAACGUUGCAUGAUGCUGUUGUGAAUUGUAAGCGAAAGAUGAUUGAUCUGAGAUGUCAAAAUAAUUAGAUUAUCUGGAUUGAGUCAGAUGAUUUGAAUGGUUUGCCUGCAGUGAUUUCAUCGAUGUUAGCUCAGAAAUAUGUAAGAAAGGGUUGUGAAGUUUAUUUUGCGUAUGUGCUUGACACGAAAGUGACUGAAAAGAAGAUUGAAAUAGUACCAGUUGUGUGUGAGUAUUCGGAUGUGUUUCCUAAUAAGUUACCAGGUUUACCACCGAUCAGAGAGGUUGAGUUUGGCAUUGAGUUAGUGCUAGGAACUACGCCAAUAUCAAUAGCUCCGUAUCGAAUGGCUUCGACAGAAUUAAAAGAACUAAAAGCUCAGCUACAAGAAUUAACCGAUAGAGGGUUUGCAAGAUUGAGUUUCUCGCCUUGGGGUGCUCCUAUUUUAUUUGUGAAAAAGAAAGAUGGCACGAUGAGAAUGUGUAUAGACUACAGGCAGCUGAACAAAGUGUCAAUCAAGAACAAAUACCCUUUUCCACAGAUUGACGAUUUGUUUGAUCAGUUAAAAAGGGGCUACAGUGUUUUCAAAAAUAGAUUUGAGAUCGGGUUAUUACCAGUUGCGAGUUAGAGACUCUGAUGUUCCAAAGACAGCUUUUAGAACGAGGUAUGGUCAUUAUGAAUUUUUAGUUAUGCCUUUCAGAUUAAUGAAUGCACAUGCUAUCUUUAUGGACUUGAUGAACUGGAUAUUCAGACCAUACCUAGAUCGAUUUGUCAUUGCAUUUAUUAAUGACAUUUUGAUAUAUUCACGAGAUGAAACUAAACAUGCCGAGCAUUUGAGAAUUGUAUUGCAGACUCCGCGUGAUAAGCAAUCAUAUAUAAAGUUCAGUAAAUGUGAAUUCUGGUUGCACAAGGUUGGUUUUCUGGUGCAUAUUGUGUCAGCAUCGACUAUCCGAGUUGAUCCGAGCAAGAUUUCUACAAUAAUGGAAUGGAAGCCUCCAAGAAAUGUAUCUAAAGUACGUAGUUUUCAGGGACUAGCUGGUUAUUACCCAUGGUUUGUGAAAGGCUUUUUGAUGAUUGUGACUCCAUUGACAAGAUUGCUUCAAAAAGAUGUAAAGUUUGAAUGGUCCGAAAAAUGUCAGAAAAGUUUUGAUCAGCUAAAAGCUUUUUUGACUAAAGCUCCAAUGUUAGUACAGCCAGAAUCGGGUAAAGAAUUUGUGAUCUAUAGUGAUGCAUCGUUGAAUGGCUUGGGUUGUGUUUUGAUGCAGGAAGGCAAAGUCAUAGCUUAUGCCUUGAGAUAGUUGAAACAGCAUGAAAAGAAUUACCCAACGCAUGAUUUAGAGUUAGCAGCCAUUAUGUUUACAUUAAAGAUUUGGUGCCAUUAUUUGUACGGUGAGAAAUGCCAUGUUUAUUCAGAUCAAAAGAGUUUGAAAUAUCUGAUGACUCAGAAUGAUUUGAAUUUAUGAUAGUGGAGAUGGCUAGAAUUGCUAAAAGAUUAUGAGCUAGUGAUUAACUAUCAUCCGGGAAAAGCAAAUGUUGUAGCUGAUGCAUUAAGCCAAAAAUCUUUGUUUGCUCUAAGGGCAGUGAAUACUCAGUUGGCUUUAUUUUAUAAUGGCUCGAUAAUAGCUGAGUUGAAAGUGAGACUGUUAUUUAUACAACAUAUUUACGAAGCUCAAAAAGUUGAUAAUUAAAUGUUAGCAAAAUGAACCCAUUGUGAUUCGAAUCCUGUUUCAGAGUUUCAAGUUGAUUCCGAUGAUUGUUUAAGAUUUAAGGGCCGAAUAUAUGUUCCGAGAAAUUCAGAAUUGAUUCAGAUGAUUUUGAAUGAAGCUCAAAGUAGUCGUUUAUCUGUUCAUCUGGGGAGCACGAAAAUGUAUAAUGACUUGAAACAGUUUUAUUGGUGGCAUGGUAUAAAAUGUGACAUUUUAGAGUUUGUUUCUAAAUGUUUGAUUUGUCAGCAAGUUAAAGCCGAGCAUCAGGUGCCGUCUUAGUUAUUGCAGUCGAUUAUGAUUCCUUAGUAGAAAUGGAAUAGAGUAACUGUGGAUUUUGUUUCAGGUUUGCCCCUAUCUCCGAGAAAGAAAGAUGCGAUUUGAGUUGUUGUUAACUGGUUAACAAAAUUAGCUCAUUUCAUUCUGGUACGAACAGAUUAUUCAUUAGAAAAGUUAGAUGAGUUGUAUAUUUUCGAGAUUGUGAGAUUAUACGGAGUACUUAUUUCUAUUGUUUUGGAUAGAGAUCUGAGGUUUACAUCACAGUUUUGGAAGAAACUGCAAGACGCACUGGGUACAAAGUUACAUUUUAAUACCCCAUUUCACCCGCAGACGGAUGGUCAAUCCGAGCGAGUUAUUUAGAUACUUGAGGAUAUGUUGAGAUGUUGCAUUCUUGAGUUUGAAGGUAUGUGGGAAAAGUAUCUACCGUUGAUUGAAUUUGCGUAUAAUAACAGUUUUCAAUAUAGUAUUAAGAUGGCACCGUACGAAGCUUUAUACGGUCGGAAGUGCUGAACACCGUUGUACUGGACUGAAUUUAGUGAGAAUAAGAUUCGCGGGGUCGAUCUGAUUAGAGAGACUGAAGAAAAAGUGAAAGUAAUUUGUGAUAGUUUGAAAGCAGCUUCUGAUUGAUAGAAAUCAUACGCAGACUUGAAAUGGAAAGAUAUUGAGUUUCAGAUCGGGGAUAGAGUGUUUUUGAAAGUGUCUCCAUGGAAAAAAGAUAUUACAGUUUGGUCGAAAGGGAAAAUUGAGUUCACGAUUCAUCGGACUGUAUGAGAUUAUCGAGCGAGUUGGACCAGUUGCUUAUUGGCUAGCAUUGUCGUCUGACUUAGAAAAGGUUCAUAACGUGUUUCAUGUAUCGAUGCUACAAUACAUGCUACGAAGGUACAGAUAUGAUCCUUCGUAUGUUAUUUCCCUGACCGAAGUUGAGAUCCAACUGAUCCGAAUUCUAGCUCGUGAGAUCAAAGAAAUGAAAAAUAAAAGAAUAGCGUUAGUAAAAGUAUUAUGGCAUCGACACAGGGUAAAAGAAACUAUGUGGGAACCCGAAGAUGCUAUGAGAAAGCAAUAUCCAAACCUAUUAACUGGUAAAUUUUUUGGGACGAAAAUCCUUAAGGGUGAAGAGUUGUAACAUCUCGAUUUUAGCUAAAUUGGAAUAGUGGUUUUGGAACCACAAAUCUGAGGUCUUAAAAUUAUUUUAAUAUUAUUUUUUGUGUUUACAACAUGUGAAUAUAUAUGUGUGAAAAUUUCGUGAGUUAAUUUUAUCGUUUAAUAGCUCAAUUUAAGAAAAGGACUAAAUCACGUAAAAUGCAAAAGUAGCAUGCUAUAAGUUAAAAGUGUUAAAUUGCUAUGGUUCAUUAAAUGAAAGAGUCCUUAUGAUGUAAAUAGACCAUUGAUGGUGGGAAUGGACAUAAAUGGGCAUUAAAUGGAUGUUUUUAAAUGGUUUUAAACAAGGUUAAUUUGGUAAUUUAGUAAAAUAAUGUAUAUUAAAUAAAAUAAAAGAUGAUAGCAUGCUCAUCUUUGUUUUAUUUUCAACCAAAAAUUAGAAAAGAAAAUAGGGUUUAAAGCUUUAAAAAUUUCGCCACUUGUGUGGCUUGAUAAAGGUAUGUAUUUUGCUCGAUUUUUUAUGAUUUUUACAUUUUUGUGAUCGUUGCUUCGAAUUCUAGUUAACCUAUGUUUCAAUUUUUGAAAGUUGACAUUGAUGAAUUCAUGUGUUUUUGGAUGUUUGAUAAUUAAAUAUGAAAGCUUGGUGUUUGAUAUACAUGUUUUGUAAAGUGAUUUUGAGCAAAAAUGUAUAUUAAGGAUUAAAUUGAGAAAAGUGUAAAUUGAAAGGUUAAAAGUGUGAAAUAAAUGAAAAUAUGGGCUGCUAUGAAGCUAUACAAAAUUCAGCUAACAUGAAAUUAGAAAGAAAUUGUGUAAUUUGUGUUUUUGUGAAAUAAGGACUAAAUUGUAAGAAAUGUAAAAGUUUAGGGCCAAAGUGCAAAUUGGCUAAAAUAUGUGUUUGUGGAUGAAAUUGAUUAAGUUGGUGAUUAAAUGAGUUGAAUUUGUUAUAAUAUAGAUCAAGAAAAGAGGAACUCGGACUUAGAUCGAGGCAAGAAUAAAAUAAUCGACUAAUCGACUAGUUUCGUCGUUUUUACGUCCGAGGUAAGUUCGUACGUGAUAGACAUUUUUACAAUUAUGUUUUCAAUGCUUUAAUAUUGCAUAAAUUAUACAAAUGAGACAAUGGUUGUGUAUGACGAUGAAUCAACUAUGUUUGGCACUUAAUGUGCGUUUCGAGAAAGCUUCGGCUAUAUAAAGCACUUAGUGUGUGAAUCGGAAUAGCUUUGGUUAUAUAUAGCACUUAGUGUGCGAAACUGAAAUAAUUCUGGCUAUGAAAGGAACUUAGCGUGCAAGAUUAUAAUAGCUUUGGCUAUGCUUUGGCAUUUAGUGUGCGAAAUUAUAAUAGCUUCGGCUAUGCUUUGGCACUUAGUGUGCGAGAUAUCGAGUAUUCGACAGUAUCACGUAAAAGUAUGAGUUCGAUAUGAAUUUGUACAGGUAUGUACAUAAAAAGCAUGGAAUCUUAAUAGAAGAAGUUAUGAACUUGUUCAUAAACUCAUGAGUAAGUGUGAGGAAAGUUUGUUGGUUACCAUGAUUUAGAUAUUAAUUAGUUCAAAUUGAUGAUUUAUAUAUUAUGAACUGUUGAGUAUAUUUAGUACGAACUUACUAAGCUUUGAAGCUUGCGGUGUGUUAUUUGUCUAUGAUUUAUAAAGAAGCAAAGCUAACUUGGACUCAGGGAUCAUCGGGAAGCGUCAUCACACUAUCGAUCAUUUUGUUGGUACUUUUGAAGUCUUGUAUAUAUAGUAUAUGGCAUGUAUAGGCUAGAUAUGGUACUUUGGUUGUGAAUAUGGUCAUGAGAUUUGGCUUAUUAUGUUUAUGUUUUGAUUUGUAUAGAUAGCCAUGUGUGAUGGCUUGGUUUAGUAUGUUUUGGUAUAAAUGUGGCUAAGGUUUCAUAGUUGUUCAAAUGGUAAUGUUUUAAGUUUAGUAAAUGACUUAUAUGGUAUGAUUGAAGUUGAUGAAUUGAGAGGAUAUAUGCUUGUGAAUGAAUGUUAGAUGAUAUAAGUUUUUGAAUAGGUAUUUAGUUUGAAUUGAUAAUGGAAUUUAAUUGAAAUGGAUAUGGUAUGAAUUGUGCAUUUGGUUAAAUGAUUUUGUGAUGCUUAUUGUAUGAUGAAUUGGUGCCUUUUUGGUUGUUUAAGUGAGAAUAAGAAAGGUUGGCAAAUUGGCUUUGCGAAUGGCCUAUUUUUGUCCACAAGGGCAGAGACACGAGCGUGUGUCACAGCCAUGUGCGACACACGGUCAUGAUACACGGCCGUGUGUCUCCUGGGGUAGCCCUUCAAGUUUAAGUUAGUCUUGUGCACGGCCUAUACACACGGGUGUGUCUGAUGGCCGUGUGAGGCACACAACCUUGGCACAUGAGCGUGUGUGGCCAUUUUGAAGGGUACACGGGUUAGACACACGGGCGUGCGGUUGACCGUGUGGCCAAGUCAAUAACCCUCCUUAGAUUUCACACGGCUUGGCACACAGGCGUGUCCUCGGCCGUGUGGUGCAAAUCAGUAUGUAUGCCCUGUUUUCACACAGUCUAUGACACGGGCGUCUCUGGUAACUGUGUGAAGCACACGACUUGUUCACACGGGCAUGUGACCUUUAAAAGUUUGGAAAAUUUUCUAAGUUUCUUAAAGUUUGCAAAUGUUAUCGGUUUCGUCCUGAACCACUUCUAAGCAUAUUUUAAGGUCUCGUAGGACCUUAUAAGGGACAAAGUGAUUGAGAUGAAUGGUUUUUAAUGAUGGUUGCACAAAUGUAUGAUAUAUGUUGUGGUUGAUUGGUAAUGCCUCGUAACCCUAUUCCGGCGACAGAUACGGGCUAGGGAUGUUAUAAUUUAACCUUUUAUUUAUUAUAAUAUAAUCUCCUCACUAGAAUUAAAAAUUUUAUUUAUAAGAAAGUAAACUUAUAUUUAAAUAUUUCAUUAAAAUUAAAAUUUUAUGUUAGUUCAAAAGUUUAAAAUGACAAAAUCAAUGAUAUUAUGAACAACAAAGAUUAUAUCAGUUUGUUCAAAAGUUUCUCUAAACUCAUGUUUUUAUAUAGAUUAUACUAAUUUUAUUACUCAUGCGAUGUACAAAUAAGUUGUAUGUAUUAAUCAAAUUACAUUUGAUUAUUUCUUAAAUUUUUUAAAAUUUUUCUAACAUUUGAUUAACAAAAUUUUUAUGAAAUUAAAAUAUAAUUUUAAAAACAUGGUAAUUGAUAUUAGAUAGAAUUUUAAAAAAAUAAUAUUUUGAGAUUAUUUUUAAAAUAUAAAUAUCAUAAUAGUAGAACGCAUGAAAUUCUAUUUUUAUAUAUAGUUUUUAAUUUAAUUUUAAUUAUUAAUUAUUGAAUGUAUUAUUAAUUAGAUUUAAAUAUUGUAAACACUAAAAAUUUAUUGUAAUAUUAUAUCUAUUUCAAUUUUAAUAGUGUAUUUAAUUUGUAAAAACAGUGAUAAACUUAAAAAGAGUUUUCUAAACUGUUUUAAAAUUUGGAAUGGCUUAUCAUGUAAAAUUGUAAGUUGAAUUAUUGAAUAUAAGCAAAUCGAAAGGACUUAUUAUAUCAAAAAGGUGGAGGGGUUAUAUUGUAAUUUUCCCCUCAAUAAAUGCUUACUUUCUUGGGUAAACUACGCCAAAUGUCACUAAACUAUUAGUAAGUUUACAUUUUGAUCACUCAACUUGAAAAAGUUACAAAAUAGUCACCAAACUAUUCAAAAGCUUUCAUUUAAUUUACUGGGCUAUUAAAAUUGUUGUUGUAUAGCUUUUUUUGUUCUCACUGCCUGUACCAAUCAAAAGUUUUCCUUCCCUUUCUCUUUUACAAUUCAAUUUUUUUUAUGAAACAACUUUGAACCUCAUGAAACCGUGAAACAAAUCCAAACAGUUUUCUUCUCUAAUCUCUAAUGCUAACCUUUAGAUCGACAUAGAUCUAAGGUAUGUUCUUCUACUCAUUGAUGGGUACUGAUCUACUAUAUUGAUCGUCGACUCAUCAUUUGGAGUUCACUUGCCGAGUUUUUUAAAAAAAACCUUCAUAGCCUAAUGAUUUAAAUAAAACCUUUCGAAUAGUUUAGUGACUUAAACGAAAACUUUGAACCGUUCAAUGACUAUUUUUGUAAUUUUUUAAAGUUAAGUGACCAAAAUGUAACGUUAAUAAUAGUUUAGCGACCUUAGGUGCAAUUUAUUCUAUUUUUUUCCUUGUCACAUGGAAUUUUUUUAUAACCUCUAACACGUUAAAAAAAUAGUAACCUUGUAAUAUAUAUUAUAUACAAUUAUUUUUGGAAAAAUAAGGCCAAUAGGCCUUUUUUUAAUUAAUUAGGCCUUUAAGCUGGUUUUAAAAUUAAUUAGGGAAAUAGGCUGAUUUAAAUCGAAAGUCCGUCCAGCUGGGCGAGCUUUCUAUACACAUGACAGGAAAGCGUAGUAGUCGGUAGACGUCGUUGAUGUAAGGUGCGUACUUAAUCCGUGUGUUCCCAUAUGCGGGAAUUACAUGUGCGCAUGGGGAUCAAAGUGCUUGGAAUCUCCCACAAUCACAGGUCUCUUCCUUAGGUUCACAUAGUAGGAUGCACCUAACAUUUCCUGGUCAAGCCUAGAAUGCUUUGUAACUCGGAAAUCGAGGUUCUGAUGUGAGUGACACACAACAUACAUCAUGUUUGCUCUCGUUGUACUUCACCGAAUCUCUUGCAUCACGUCAUCGCAAAAAUUACCGCCGCCCACUAUCUGUCCAGCAUACGUCGACUCCCUCUUAAGAAACAAGGCGUUCAGUUGAAAGUAUGUCUCUUUGACAACCGAUGUUACCUGCAAACGACGCAUCCCCUUCAGUAUCGAAUUAAUGCACUCGACCAAGUUUGACGUCAUGUGCCCGUAUCGUAGACCCCUGUCGUACGACUACAUCUACUAUUCAAACGGUAUAUUCGAAACAUGCACCGCACCAUAGGCAUUAAUGGUGCUUAAGUUGUUCAACUUUUGAUGGAAAACAUGUUGGACGAGCUCGUAACCUGUAAAUAAAUAGCUACCGAUUAGUGUAAUGAAAUAAUCUCAUAUUUGAAAAUUUGAUAUGCAAUGAAUACACAGUUGGGACUACAAACCCAUGUCGAUGACUAGAUCUUGCUCAACCGCCAAAUGAUAUUUUUGGUAGUAGGUGGACCCCAAAUAUCGUAUGCAAUACCGAUGAUAAAUGCGAUCUCAGAGGGAUCCGUGACGAUCAAUCACCAAGAGUAUUCCAGGUCAUUUGUCUAAUAUGACACAUAUGUUGGGUUGCAAGCAAACAAGGCAGCGGAUCUAUCGUAGACGAAAGAGGGCUCUCAGGCGGGGAGUAGCUGUUGAGAUGCACUAAAGAUGAUGCUCCUUUUUUUUGGAAAAAUGGGUUUGUAAAACGCUUCGGAAAAUAAAUUUAGGGCAAAACCAGAGUUUUAAUUUUUUUUUUCCAAAACAAGAUAUUAGUUGUGAUAUCUGAAGUAAUAAACACUUAAUCAAAAUUGUACAUUUUCGAUUCGUCUAGGAUGAAUGCUUCGACCGAGUAGUCUUCUCCGCUAUCCUCAAGCUCACGUCUGCCUAGUGUAGGCUCACUUUGAAUCAAAAAAAAUUCACAAAAAUUACUAGUGGGGCAAUUUUGUAAUUUCUCUUAAAUUUUGGAUCAAGUUGUAAAUAAGAAAAAUAUCUCUAGAAAUUUUCUAAAAUAAUCUCUUCAGAGAAUUUUCUCUCUACAACUUUCUCUUAAAUUCAAAUAUGUAUAAAUAAUGACCUAAGGCUCUCUUUAUAUAGGGCGAAUUUAGAGAGUCCAACUAUAAUUAAACUUAAUCACUUUAAUAUUAAAUUAAUAUAAUAUUUAUCAAGACAAAUAUUGUAUUAAAUUUAAUAUUAAAUCUUAUUAAAAUAAUAGAAUGUAUUAAAUUUAAUAUUAAAAUAAUCACUUAAUAUUAAAUUAAUAAAAUACUAUUAAGAUAAGUAUUAAAUUUAAUUUAAUAUUAAACUAUUAAAAUAUUAUUAUUUUUGGAAUAAUUAAUCUGAAAUUAAAUUCUCUGGUAGAAUUCCAGUAGGAGAGUAACUCUUCCACUGCUCAAGCAUCGAUGACCAACCGCUGCCGACCACAGAGACGUCGCUGUCACAACCACCGGCACCAUCGUGCUCAAUGAUGCAGGUGCGACACCCUUACGGCACCUUGAACCGGUUCAGCUGCUGUAGGUUCGAUCCGGGUCAGUGAUGACCCGAUAGAUCCAGUCUAGCCACCGGUUGGACCGUCGGCCCAGUUUCACAUACCGAGCUUGGUUCGACCAAUUUUUGGAUCUUGGUCUUGGUUUUGUGCUCCCGGGCCCAAUUUACGAUCUCAGGUCCAAUUUUAAAGUUCAGUUACUUAUUAUGCCAAUUGUUUGACUUCAAAAUUAACUUCCAAAAAUAUCAUAUAAAUUUUAAUUGAUUUAAUUUUACUUGAUCAAAAUUAAUUUUUCCAAAAACCACUUAUAUUUUCCAAAUUAAUUUUUCAAGAAAAUUCUUUAAUCAAAUUCUCUAAUUGAAUAAUUCUUAUAACCACCUAAUUUAAUUCCAUAUUGAAUAAAUCGACUCAAUUACGUUAUUCCCAAAGUCGUAGAAUUUUCUUUUGAUUCAAAUACAGUCCGAUCGAGCUUUUGUUGGGCUAGCGAAGAGACCAAUCAAACAUAUAAAACUAGGCUCUUGUGAUUACAAUUAUGUCAAGAAGCAUCGUUCCGAUAAUUUGCAAUUACUUAAUCAUGGAGUCAGUCCACAAGAAGUACCAUGAUUGAAAACUCAUUAUUGUAUACUCCUUAUGAAAGCAAUUCAUCCAACUGCUUUGUCCAAUGACCUCGUCAUUUGUAUGUUACCCUCAUAUGAUAUCUUUGAUUCAUUUGAGUUAAAUUCAUUUACUCAAGGCAAUCCUAUUUUAUCUCACUGUCACCAUUGUGUCUUCUUAAUGAUUAAUAUGAUCACUCUCAACAAAUGAUUGUGAUAAAUUGCUUGUUCGAGAACAAGCAACCCGUGGUCACGUUCCAUAUUUAUCAAUCCACAUAAUGCCAAUAAGAAGAUAACAUUAACUCUUUAAUUGAGCUAUGAAUUUCAUUAUUGCUAGUAAAGCCAUGCUAUACACAAGUCAUGUACCCAACAUAUCGGCUAUGGGCUCAAUCAUCUUUAGAGCAUAAGCCUCCACUUAUAUCAAAGUACAUGAUUUGCAUACGCAUAGUCCGUCACUAACUCAGGAUUUAGGUAAAUCACACCAUGAAUGUCACAAGUGAAGUAAUUUAGAAACGGAUUUAGAAUUAAUUCAUCUUGGGUCCAGUCCAAUGUAUCAUUCUACCAAUGAAUACAUCUAUGUCUCUACUCGUGGACUCAAUUGCUCCAAUAACCAAGACUAACCAUCUCCCCAAUUGGAAUGGUAGAUGGCAUAAUAAUCCUUCUCAGUAUUUGAAUCAAUUGCUAACUUUGAUUCUUUUAUAGAAUUACGGACUCAUUUAGAUUAUCUACUGAAGUAAGUUGUCUUCAUCUCGAUGUAAACAUUCUUUACAAUGCCACUUAUCUUAGCUUGAACUUUAGAUAAUCAAUGAGGUAAUAUUUGCUUGUCACAAUUUCGCUAUGCAUGAAAAAUAUAAAAGACAUAAUAGUGAAAUGAGAAAUUAACUUCAUUUAUUUAUUCAUCAUUCAAAUAAAUAGAAAAGAGUUACAUGUUUACUAUAAUAUGGGCACAUUUCCCAACAAUCUCCCACUUGCCCUAGUAAAGUAAAUGUGUCAUGUUUCGCAUUCUCAUAUUCUCGACAUGUUUGUUAAAACUCCUAGUUACAAGAGUCUUAAUAAACGGAUCUGUAAGGUUAUCUUUAGAAGCUAGUUUCAUCACAUUUACAAUUCAUUCGGCUACUACCUCUUGUAUCAGGUGAUACUUCUGAUCAAUGUGUUUCAUCCUCUUGUGACUUCUCAUUUCUUUAGUAUUAACUAUUACAGCAUUGUUAUCAAAAUACAGUGUCAUAGUUUCUUCCAAACCAGGAAUAACUUUAAGUUUGGUUAAGAACUUUCGAAAUCAUAUUGCUUCUUUCGUUGCCUCAGAAGUAGCCACAUACUCAGCCUCGAUAGUAGAGUCAACAGAGCAAGUUUGUUUUACACUUCUUUAUACUAUGGCUUUACGACCUAGAACGAAUACAUUUCUCGACGUCGAUUUCCUCGAAUCUUUACAAGUUUGGAAGUCUGGGUCUUUGCAUCCAACAAGAGUAAGGUCCUCCCCAGAAUACACAAGCAUAUAAUCCCUGGUUCUUUUAAAAUACCUUAAUAUAUGCUUUACAGCUUGUUAAUGCCUAUACCUGGAUUCGCCUCAUAUCGACUAAUCAUUCCUACUAUGAAACAGAUAUCUUGAUGUGUGUAAAGCAUCGCAUACGUAAGGCUUCCAACUAUCGAAGCAUAUGGAACCUUACUCAGAUGCUCUCUUUCUUCUUUUAUCUUAGGACAGUCAUCUAAAGAAAUAUGAAAACUUGAUGCAGUCGGUUGAAUGCCUAGCUUUGCAUCGAUCAUUACAAAACAUUUCAGUACCUUAUCGAUGUAUGAAGCUUGAGAUAGAGCUAUCGUUUUAUUCUUCUGAUUCCUAAGGAUUCUAAUUCCAAGAAUAUAACUAGCUUAAUUCAAGUCCUUCAUACUAAACUGUUAAGCUAACCAUAGUUUAAUCGAUGAUAAUUCUCCUACAUCGUUUCCGAUAAGUAGAAUAUCAUCGAUAUGCAAAACGAGGAAGACCACCUUUUUGUCCUUUAUACACUUAUAAACACAAGGUUUAUCAACUUUUUGCUCAAAUAUUUAUUCUAUGAGCGAGAAAUCUGCUUAAGUCAAUAAAUGGAUCUUAGCAGUUUGCAAACUUUCUACUCAUUUCCUUUGAAAACAUAGCCGGUCGGUUAAGUCAUGUAAAUGGUCUCAUCAAGAUAACCAUUCAAGAAUGCUAUCUUCACAUCCGUUUGCCAAAUUUCGUAAUCGAGAGCAAUGACAAUGGAUAAGAGUAUACGGAUAGACUUGAACAUGGCUACCGGAGAAAAAGUCUCAUCGUAAUCGAUGUCUUCUUUCUGUGUGUAGCAUUUUCCUACAAGUCUAGCUUUGUGUGUUUCCACUUUCCCUUCCAUGUUUCUUUUCUUAUUGUAAAUCCACUUACACCCUAUGGGCUUAAUCUCAAUUGGUAAGUUUAUAAGUUCCCACACCGUAUUAGAUUUCAUAGAAUCCAUAUUGGCAUCUAUGGCUUGUUUUUAAAGCUUAGAAUCAACAUCCUGCAUAGCCUCCUCAUAAGUGAGUGGAUCAUCAUCCUCAUGAUUGGAUUUUGUAUUAUAAAUACUACAAUUAUAGAUGAAGAAGUCUAGUUUCUUAAAAACUCUCCCACUACAAUGGAUUCCCCUAUUCUAUUAAUUGUUUGUAGGUUUUUCUACAACUUUCUCAAGAAUUAAACUUGGUGAUUCUUCUAUCACUCCCAAAAAUUCCUCAAAUACCACUUUACUUCGAGGCUUAAAGUUAUCUAUGUAGCUUUCCUCUUGGAAAGUAGCAUAACUAAAAAAUUUAAUCGUAUUAUCUUUCAGAUUGUAGAAUAAUCCUCCCUUUUAUUUCUUUUAAAUAUCCUACAAACAUGCACAAUUCUGUCUGUGCAUCAACUUCUUUGCAUCCUUAUCUAGAAUGUGUGCUAGACAACCCCAUAUUCUAAAGUGAUUUAGAGCAGGUUUCUUUCCAUGCCACAGUUCAUAAAGUGUCUUACAAGAAGACUUGGUUGGCACAUCAUUUAGAAUAUAGUAAGUCAUUUGUAUCGCAUAUCCCCAGAAAGAAGUAGGAAGUUGUGAAUAGCUUGACAUUGAACAAACCAUGUCAAGAAAGAUUCUAUUCCUUCUCUUAGCUACACCAUUCUGCUAUGGAGUGUCUGGCAUAGUCAAUUAGGAUAAAAUCUCGUUUUCUUUGAGUUAUCCUAUGAACUCGUCGGAAAAAUACUCCCCACCUCAGUCAGACUGAAGAUUCUUUAUGGAUAAAUCUAAUUAUUUUUCCACUUCUACACAAAACUCUCAAAAUGUAUAAAAGGUUUUACUUUUGCAGUGCAUUAAAUACACAUAUUCAUAUCGAGAAUAGUUAUCGAUAAAAGUCACGUAAUAAUCGUAACUUCCUCAGGUAUUGAUACUCAUGGGACUACAUAUAUUAGUAUGCACUAGUUCUAAAGGUUGGUUGACCCUUCUACCUUUCGCAUUAAAAGACCUCUUAGUCAUUUUAUCUUUCAAGCAAGAUUCACAUUGUGGAAGACCAACUUCCUCAAGCAUACUUAAAGGACCAUCUUUCACGAGUCUAGUGAUUCUUUCUUUGCUAAUAUGACCAAGUCUUAAAUGCCAUAGGUAUCCCUCAUUAGAGUGAGAAGUUUUAAGCUUUUUAUUCACUAUUUUAGUUUGAAGGAUCAAGUAGUUAUUUGGUUUGAUAAAGCAUAUAUUGUUUUCCAUCCAUACAUUACAAAUUAAAGAACGAUUUUUGUGAAUAGUAAUCCCUUUAUUGAAUGUCACGGUAUAACCAUCAUAAAAUAAACAUGCUACAGAAAUUAAAUUCCUCUUAAAAUGAGGUACAUAUAACACAUUCUUUAAAAUAAUCUUUCUAAAAUUAUCAAAGUGUAAAAUAACUUCGCCUAUUGCUUCAGCUAAAAUACAGCCCUCAUCUCCUUUCCAUAACAAGAGGCUCUUAUCACACAGACUUCUUGUUUUGCUGAACCCUUGUAAAGAAACACACACAUAGUUAGUGGCUCUAGAAUUAAUAACCCACUGGUUAUUGAUUCUUCCACUAAGCAAGCUUUAACCACAAAGAGUUCUAUACCUUUACCCUUUUUAGCUAGGUAAUCCAAAUACUUAUGGCAGUUUGAUUUGAAAUGUCCUUUUUUCUGUUGCAGAAGAAACAUUUGAUCUUUUUUGGAUCUUUUGACUUAUUAGCCUUCUUCCUAUCCACACAAAGUGGAACCGAAGACUUAGUUGAUUUCUUGUUUUCCCUUAGCUUUCUGUUUCCCCUCAAAGGACGAAGGGCCCACAGCUAAGUUUACCUUAGGUUUCUCCUAAACCGGCUUACCACCAUUUAGCAUCAAUUUAUAGGAUUGUAAUUCCUUCAUGAGCUGAGUCAAGGUAAGCUCAUUGUUCUCCAAGUUAUAAGUGGCCCUAAAACUAGCAAACUCAUUAGUUAAGAAUUUAAACGCUAUUUCAAUUUGAGUGUUCAUGUCUAGUUCAGCCCCAUUAUCCUCCGCUUGGGCAAAGAAUCAUAUAAGCUCAAGCAUAUUUUCUCUGACCGAAGUGUCGAUUUUCUGUUGAAAAUUCAACAAAUUUGUAAUAGCGGAUUGUCGAGCCAAUGCGACUUGGCCUUCUAGCAAAUCCUCCAAAUUUUUUGUGAUCUCUUUGUUAGUACGAAAAUUCUCUUGUUGCUUUUGCAACACACUACUCAUGCUCACUAACAUAUAACAUCGAGCAAUCGAGUCAGAAUCUUCCCAGCGAUUUCUCACUUUUGGGCUGAGCUUCAAGAAGGCAUGUUUCAUCAAGAACGAAUUCGUGUUUCUCACAGCUGAGAACUAUCAACAAUUUUCGUUUCCAUUCUCAAAAGUUAUCCCCAUUUAAUUUAGUCUCAAUAAGAAUGUUAAUAAGAGGAAUAGGAUACAUAUUUAAAUUAAAAAAAAUAAAGAUUUCACUAAUUAUUAUCUUUGUAUUAAGCAAAUAUUCUUCAUUUCAGCAAUAUAUCAAGAAUGUAGUAUGAUGCAUGCGUAUUGUAUUAAAACAUUAAAAAUAUUUCGUUGCUAGGAUCAUUCUCACACCCAUCAACCAUGUCGCCUUGAGGUCCCAUGAUUAACUAGCAAGAACAUGGAUUACAUUCAACUAGUUCGUAAAUCUUAAUUCUUAAGACUCCACAUGAACUAACGACCGUUUAACGUUUGGCCAUCAUUUCUAGCUUAAAUAUCAUUUCUUAGGAAACUAUUUAAUAAUAGAUGAUCUUGAGUGUGUAACCGUUGACUCGACACCCAUCAUGAACAUGCUUUUAUUUAUGAGUCAUCUUGGGACAAUCUCUCUGAAAGUCAUGCAUGACUAGUUGUCCUUAAAAGAAAAUCCUAUCUAGUGAACUUGCAUGACAAAGUUUACCUUAGGGUAUGGCCAAGGUGGGAACCAACUCGAAAUUUUAUCAUGCUAUCACUUAAGGACCAUCAAUAGAGGUCAUAGGUCUUGUAAAAAGGACCUCCUCCCACUCAAUAUUUUAAAAACAUUUAAGGUUUUUUAUCCCAAAUUUCAAGAAUGAUCAUACAAUAGCCCUAGUGGCAUUCUUACCUAAUCUAAAUAGCAUGCUUCCGAUAUAUGCAUGGCAUGCUAUGGAAAUUUUAUAAAAUUCACAUUCAUUCGCAAAAAUCAAUCAAUCAUAAAAACAAAAAAUUUUGAUUCUCCAUUUUUUUUCUUUUAAGGUAGAAACCGAAGAAAUGAAUGCGAACCAUGCAUAAGAUAGGGUCCCAGGAAAGGGAGGUGAGUCAAAUUUAAUUGCUUAAAAACCAAGUCUUUCCUAGUCAGAGCCAAUCCUAUACAUGCACCUUCUCAUUACAACAUUUCUCACAGUUACUGAAUAAUCUAAAGAAGUAAAUAGAACAAUACAACACAUGUAUUUUCUCAUUACCGCACUUCUUAUUUUUAAUCGAUCAACUGUUGAUCAUCUUAUAUAUAUAUCACAAUUAUUACAUUACAUAAUAUAAAUAUUAUAAACAAUUAUAAAACAAAUAUAUAAUGAGAUAGGUAAUUAAAAUAAAAUUGCCAGCCAAGAUUUCCAUGGUUCUAUUUCUAAAAAAUAAAUGGAAAAAUAAAAUUACAUAAUUUUUCACCACAAGGCAUUCAUUGAGUUUUCAACUGCCAUCACAUCUUUUCCUCGUCAUGAACUCCCUUUUGGAAAAAUUACAUUUAAAUUUUAUGUCUAUUUCCAGCUUACAAGAAUUCUAUAAAUUUAUAAAAAAUAUAUAACUCUUUGUAGAAAUGAUAGUCCACGAUCUAUUUCCUAAUAACCACAACCUCGACAAAAAACAAUUAUAUAACAAAAUAUAAUAUUGCAUCCAUUUCCAUAUAUAACUCAAAACAUGCAUAAUACCUAAAGAAUGUCACUUUCUACGUAAUCAAAUCAUUCAAGAAGAAGAGAAAUUUAUUUUGAUCAUCUAUUUAUACUUAUAGAUAGAACACAAUCUGGCUCUAAUACCAAUUGUUGGGAAAACAGGUUUAGAAAACGCGAUAGAAAAUAAAUUUAGGGAAAAAACUAUACUUUUAAAAAAUUUUCCAAAACAAUAUCUUGGCUGUGACAUCUAAAGUAAUAAACACUUAAUCAAAAUUGUACAUUUUUUAUCUGUUUAAGAUGAGCAUUUCGACCGAGUAAUAUUCUCCGCUAUCCUCAAGCUUGCAUCUAUCGAGUGUGCACUCACUUCAAAUCAUAAAUUUUUUCAUAAAAAUUACCAGUAAGGCAAUUUUCUAUAAUAAUCUCUUCAGAAAAUUUUCUCUUUACAACUUUCUCUUGAAUUCAAGUAUGUGUAAAUAAUAAUCCAAAGCUUUUUUUAUAUAGGGAGAGUUUAAAGAGUUCAACUAUAAUUAAACUUAAUCAAUUUAAUAUUAAAUUUAAUCUAUAAAUAUUAUAUUAAACUUAAUAUUAAAUAUUAUUAAAAUAAUAAAAUGUUUAUGUACAAGAUAAACAUUAAAUUAAAUUUAGUAUUAAGAUAAUUACUUUAAUAUUAAAUUAAUAAAAUAUUGUUAAGAUAAAUAUUAAACUAAAUUUAAUAUUAAACUAUUAAAAUAAUAUUAUUUUUGGAAUAAUUAAUCAGAAAUCAAGUUCUCUGGUAGAAUUUUAAUAAGAGUGUAACUUUUUCACUACUCAACCACUGACGACCAACCGCCGCCAACCACAAAGACACAGCCAUCGCAGCCAACAGCACCGUCGUGUCCAGUGGUACAGGUGCGACACCUUUACGGCACCCCGAGCCGGUUUGGCUACUGUUGAUUCAAUCCGGGUCAGUGAUGACCUGACGGUCCGAUCUAGCCACCGAUUGGACCAUCGACCCUAUUUUACAUACUGUGCCCAGGUCGACCAGUUUUUGGGUCUUGGUUCCGAUUUUGGGCUCUCGGGCCCAAUUUACGAUCUGAAGUUCAAUUUUCAAGUUCAAUUAUCCAUUUGUCAAUUGUCUGACUUGAAAAUUAACUUCCAAAAAUAUCAUAUUAAUUUUAAUUGAUUUAAUUUUACUUGAUCAAAAUUAAUUUUUCCAAAAAUUACUUAUAUUUUCCAAAUUAAUUUUUCAAGAAAAUUCUUUAAUCAAAUUUUCUAGUUGAACAAUUCUUACAACCACCUAAUUUAAUUUCACAUCAAAUAAAUCUACUCAAUUAAAUUAUUCCCAAAGUUGUAGAAUUUUCUUCUGAUUCAAAUGCAAUCCGAUCGAGCUUUUGUUAAGCUAGCAAAGGGACCAAUCGGACAUAUACAAUUAGCUCUAGUGAUUGCAAUUAUGUUUAGAAAUAUCGUUCUGAUAAUUUGCAAUUAUUUAAUCAUGGAGUCAAUCCACAAGAAGUACCAUUAUUGAAAACUCCUUAUUGUAUACUUUUUACAAAAGUAAUUCAUCCAACUACUUGGUCCAAUAACCUUGUCAUGUGUGUGUCACCCUCAUAUGAUAUCCUUGAUUCCUUUGAGUUAACUGUUUACUCAAUACAAUUGUAUUUGAUCUCACUGUCACCAUUGUGUCUUCUUAAUGAUUAAUAUGAUCACUGUCAACAAAUGGCUGUGAUAAAUUGUUCGUUCAAGGAUAAGCAACCUAUGUCACGUUCUAUAUUUAUCAAUCCACACAAUGACAAUGAAAGGAUAUCAUUAACUCUUUAAUUGAGUUAUAAAUUUCACUGUUGCUAGUAAAGCCAUGACAUACACAAGUCAUAUACCCAACAUACCAACUAUGGACUCAAUCAUCUUUAGAGCAUAAGCCUCCACUUGUAUCAAAGCACAUGAUUUGCAUACGCAUGGUCAAUGGCUAAUUCAGGAUUUAAGUAAAUCACACCAUGAAUGUUACAAAUGAAUUAAUUCACAAACAAAUCCAAAAUUAAUUCAUCUUGGGUCUGGUCCAUUGUAUCAUUCUACCAAUGAAUAUAUCUAUAUCUCUACUCAUGGAGUCAACUGCUCUAAUAGCCAAGACUAAUCAUCUCCCUAAUUGGAACUGUAGACAACAUAAUAAUCCUUCUUAGUAUUUAAAUCAAAUAUUCACUUCGAUUCUUUUACGGGAUUACGGGCUUAUUUAGAUUAUCUACUGAAGUAAGUUGUCUUUCUCUCAAUGUAAAUGUUCUUUACAAUGCCACUUAUCUUCAAUUUGAACUUUACACAAUCAAUGAGCUAAUAUUUGUUUGUUACAAUUUCGCUAUGCAUGCAAAAUAUAAAAGACAUAAUAGUGAAAUGUGAAAUUAAUUUUAUUUAUUUAUUCAUUGUUCAAAUAAAUAGAAAACAUUUACAUGUUUAUUAUAAUAUGGGUACAUUUUCCAACACCUUUCGAGGUGACGACGGUUGUCGUUAUUACACAUCCCAUUAAUAACUGCAACUGCUUUCGCGCCGACCCAAGUUUGACGUCUACUAUGUUGGAAUAUCCGCGCUUCUCUUGAGAGCCCUCUUGUGUCCACCUCAGUGUCAGCCUUCGGACAAUAAUGAAAGGUUUAAGAUACUGAGACUUGGAAAUAGCGAAAAAAAUUACGUUGAUUACACCGAAAGUUCCUAGAGUUUUUCUGUAUGAUUAUGGCAUCAAUCAUAUGUAUAGUAUAUAUAGGGAAUUGUUUGUGGGUAUCAAAAAAUCUUGAACUCCUGAUCACGUAACGGCCGUCACCUAGCUCCCCGGUUAUACUCAAACGUAUGAUCACAUCACGACCGCCAACUGAGACCUUCACGUAGACUUCGACCCCUGAUCGUAUCAAGCAUUAUUACCUUGAAACCAAAUUUCCCCACGAUGGGUUUCUUAGGUGAUGGUCCUAUCCCACAAUGAAAUAUUAAAUGUAUGUGUACUGAGGCGCAUUAACAUCCUCUACCCCUCAAAACUACUUAAGAACUUUUGCCAUUUUAGUCGAAAACCUUAAACACUUUCAAAAUACCUUAAACCCCAAAAUUCCUAAACCCUAACCUUAAAAAAAUAAAAGCCCUAACCUUAGAGAGAGAAAUAGAAAGUGUAUCUAGCUGGGCGCGCUUUUCUGCCAUCUAUGCAAAAAGUGCACCUAACUGGACGUGUUUUCCUUUCUCUCCUAAAAUCGGCCUCUUUCCCUAAUUAAUUUUCAAAUUGGCCAAAAUGCCUACUUAAUUAAAAAAAAAGGCCUACAAGCCUUAUUUUACCUGUAUUUUGCUUCUAAAAGUAAAAUGAGUAAUUUUUUUAUCUGGCAUUUAUUAUUUUUUGUUAAUCAAAUUUCAUUUGGGUGAGUUUGCCAUACUCUGCCAUUGUACUUUUUUUAUUCUAUAAUUAAUCUUAAAAGAUUAAUAUGCUUCUUUUUUUUAAUAUUUAUGUUUUAAUAUUUUACAAUAUUCUUAAAUAAUAUUUCAAUUGCCCGAAUAAUUUCUCAUUUUAUUUUACAAAAUAAUUAAUAAAUAAUAAUAAUAAUAAUAGGGGGAAAUAAAUAAAAGUCCAACUUAUAAGGAGAGACAAGCAAAAGCAUGAAGUUCCAAUUCGAAAUCGAUGGGGAGACCCCACCGGCGUCACUGUCACUUUCCAGACCAAACGAACGGCACGAAGCAUAUCAUCUGGCUAAUGGCAUUAUUCAUUUCAUGUGGUAAAGAUGAGCUCAUGCUGUGCCUCUUAUAGCAACAUCGCCCGCCUUUCUUUUUUCCUAUACGUUUCUUGGCAUUAAUUAACCCCCAAAUCUCAAUUUCCAAAUACCCACAUACACUCUCACUAAUUUCGUCCCAAGGCGUUGCCUUUCCUGGACGCGACUCCCCCGAAAUUGAUGGCCUGAAUCUGCAAAUGGAAACUCACUCCAUUUCACUCACCAAUUUCUCACCUUUGACUCGCCCUUUACGCCCAUCACGACUCGGACGCCUCAACUCUUUCCACUUCAAACCUUUGUUUUUCUCUCCCCUCUCCACCCGCUACAAGUCCCUCUUUCUUCCUCUUAAUUCCCACACUAUCCGAAUCCGCUGCGUCGCUAAUCACGAACACCACCAUCAUCAUGAGCAUGAUCAUGAUCAUGAUCAUGGCCAUGACCAUGACCAUCACCACCACCACCACCACCAUCAUCAUGGUUCUGGUCUAUUGAAUGGGCCCCAGAAAGCCGUGAUCGGGUUUGCAAAAGCCAUUCGAUGGAUGGACCUGGCCAAUUUCCUGAGAGAGCACCUUCACCUCUGCUGCUGCGCCACUGCACUGUUUAUUGCUGCCGCUGCUUGCCCUUAUUUAGUCCCAAAACCAGCCGUCAAGCCUCUCCAAAAUUCCUUCCUUGUCCUCGCCUUCCCUCUCGUUGGGGUAAACUCCAUUUCUCUUUUAUGUUCCGUUUGGUUGCUGAAUUUUUGCAUCAAAAAUAGUAACUUUCUUAUUAUUUAAUGGAAUAGGUGGUAAUUAUGUUCGACUCGAUAUUUGAUUUUUCUGUAUUUUAAAUCAGCUUACUUGUAUUGCGUUUUAUUUGGUCAGGUUUCUGCGGCACUUGAUGCCGUUACUGAUAUUGCUGGUGGGAAAGUGAACAUUCAUGUACUUAUGGCACUUGCUGCCUUUGCCUCUGUUUUCAUGGGGAAUGCCUUGGAAGGAGGGUUGCUUCUUGCAAUGUUCAAUUUGGCUCAUAUCGGUAAGUGUUUCGAGCUGGUUAAAUUUGUUUCAGAGGCAUCCUAUGUUUCCUUGGUGUAAUUGUGAAAGUUGGUUACUUGCAGCUGAAGAAUUUUUUACCAGUCGUUCAAUGAUAGAUGUGAAGGAGUUGAAAGAAAACUAUCCGGAUUCAGCACUUGUACUAAAUUUGGAUGAUGAUAAUUUGCCAAAUGUUUCUGACUUGUCAUACCAAAGCAUCCCUGUUCAUGAUGUGGAGGUUGGCUCCUACAUUCUGGUCACAACUGGUGAGGUCUGUGAUAAUAGGAAUAUGGAUUCUAUACUGGGUUAAUAUUUUUAUAUUUUAUGUUUUUUAAAUUCUUUUAUGUUAUAAGGGUAAGUUAAUGGUGUGAGCUGCUAUUUUUCCAGGCUGUUCCUGUAGAUUGUGAAGUGUUCCACGGUAGUGCAACAAUUACUAUUGAGCAUUUGACUGGUGAAAUCAAACCAUUAGAGGCUAAAGCUGGAGAUAGGAUUCCAGGUGGUGCAAGGAAUUUGGAUGGUAGAAUGAUCGUUAAGGUGUGUUUAUGAAUUUUUCAGAAUGCUAAAUGUAAAAAAGUUCAACUUAUGUUCUUUUAUCUUCUGAAAUUGUUUAGGUUAAAAAGUGAGUACAUAAAUUUUUCUUGCAGGGAACUUUUCUUUUUUUCUGUCAUUUCUAGUUCACAUCCUUCACUUAUGUUUUGGGUUUUCCCUUUAAUAAUUUCAUAUUAGGUGCUUAAGACAUGGAAAGAAUCAACGCUUAGCAGGAUUGUGCAGUUAACUGAAGAAGCACAAUUGAAUAAACCUAAGCUGCAAAGGUGGUUGGAUGAAUUUGGUGAGCAGUACAGCAAGGUGGUUGUAGUUUUGUCAGUUGCCAUUGCAGUUCUUGGGCCUUUUCUUUUUAAGUGGCCAUUCAUUAGCACUGCAGGUAACUCUUAGUAUAAGCUGCUUUGCAAUUAUCACGGUUGUUUCUCUCUCUAUUGCCUUGUGCCAUUAAUUUUGUUAUCCAUGGUUUACACCCUUUUAUCUUCUAAGAAAGGCCUCUUCUGCUAACGCAUCUUAGUUUUAGUUACCUUAACUGGCAAUAACCCCACUUUGCGUCAACUCUCACUGAAUAGUCAGUCUGUUUAGUUUGAAGCUUUACUUGUCUUGUUCUUCCUCUUGACAAUUCUCUGAUGUUAUCUUUGUCUGUUUUGAGUUAUCUUCUACCUGUCUUAUGUUUGGUGUUGAUUAUGCAGUUUGCAGAGGAUCAAUCUACAGGGCAUUGGGGCUUAUGGUGGCAGCAUCCCCAUGUGCCUUGGCUGUAGCCCCACUGGCGUAUGCUACAGCAGUGAGCUCCUGUGCGAGAAAGGUAUCAGUCACAUGUAAUCAAGGAGUGUUCACACAUGCCUUCUGUCACUGUCAGCAUGUUCUUUCUCAAGUGUAUACAAGCCUUUUUCAUAACUGUAUUUAUUUUCAUUUGUUAAGAUAAUGAUGGAAGCCCGCCGCAUUGCAAUAUAGCUAUAAUUAAAAUACUUUUGAUACCUUAGACUGAGUCUAACCAUUAUUAGUUUUCUGUACUUUGGUUGGAUCAGCUCACAUUAGUUUUUUGUUCUGAACACCUUUGUUAUUGUACAAUUUCUAAAAUCAUCUUUCUAGUACCUUGAUAAAUUGUGUAUUCUUGUGUAUAUGUUUCUUGAUUAAUUUUGCCUUGCACAAGUUUUUGUUAGAGCCAAUAGGUUGCUUUUUUUUUUCAUGGAAAUUAGUAAUAACUUGGAGGUCAUCGGUACACGUCUGUUUACUCGAUGAUGCUUGUAGAUGUCUAGAUUUAUCUAAUUGCUUAACUACUGAAGCUCUUUUGGUGUUAAUAUGAAUCAUGAGAUUCACCUGAUCUCCUCCAGUCUGACUCUCUCUCUCUCUAUAUAUAUAGGGGAUAUUGCUAAAAGGUGGGCAAGUGCUAGAUGCUCUAGCUUCUUGUCACACUGUUGCAUUUGAUAAAACUGGGACAUUGACAACUGGAGGGCUUAUGUUUAAAGCAAUUGAACCAAUUUAUGGUCACAUAAUUGGAAACAAGAAGACAAAUUUAACUUCCUGUUGUGUUCCUAGCUGUGAAGUAGAAGCACUUGCAGUAGCAGCUGCGAUGGAGAAGGGUACUACUCAUCCUAUUGGAAGGUAUUGUAUAAAAUGAAAUAGUGUAUCCUCUGUAAGUUGAGCAUCUGUGGUCUGUGCAACUCAUUCUGUGACCAUAGCCCUCUAAUAAGCUAAUGAGGGUAAUAACUAAUUUCUACUUUAACUUGCCAUUGUCUUAAUGAUGGUCAUAUUUCUUGUAUGAAUUAUUGUCAUAAUCUUGUCAAAUUAUUUAUCAUUCCUUUUAUUCCAGGGCGGUUGUAGACCAUAGCAUAGGGAAAGAUCUUCCUUCUGUUUCUGUUGAAAGUUUUGAAUAUUUUCCUGGCAAAGGUCUUAUUGCUACUCUCAACAGUGCUGAGGUAAUGUCUUUUACGAAUAUAUUUCAUAUGUCUCCGUGAUAUUUAAGGGGAAACUGAGUUAUCUUCAAGUUUGCUGAAAUCACUAAUUUUCAUUUACGAGCAAUUUGAAUCCUCCGUUUUAUUCCUAUACCUUGUAUGUCCAGUUCAUUUACUACUGUACAUUUGUAACUUAGCAGACUGCAAUUUCCCUCCUUGAGGUUGUUGUAUGGCACUUACAGUCAUUGGGGUUUCUUCUACUAGAGGAUCUAGUGUUAGCUUUUUUGCUAAAAAGAGAAAAAAAAAAGGGGGGGGGGAGACAAUGGGUUUUGUCAUAAUUUUAUUAAAAGCGCCUUUCAUGGAAGUGUAAAAAAAAAAGGAAAAAAAAAGUCAAAAUGCAAAAUUGUAGUUCAGUGUUGAUUUUUCAUGUCAAGCAACAUAUAAUCAAAAUGAAGGAUGAUAGAAUAAUUUUCUUCAGCCUGAAUUAUAUUUAUAUCUUAUGACAAGACACGUUCCUUUGAACUAUGAUACUGACUUCAACUAUAGGGCUUAUUCACCGUUAAGUAUUUGCUUGCUUCCCAUCAGUAACAUUAAAGCCAUCCCGCUUAUAAUCAUUUCUGCUUUGUUAUAGUCAGGAACUAGAGGAGGUAAAAUGUUAAAAGCGUCACUUGGUUCGAUAGAGUUUAUCACUUCACUUUGUAAAUCUGAAGUUGAAUCAAGGAAGAUUAGGGCAGCUGUUAAUGCUUCUUCUUUUGGAACUGACUUUGUUCAUGCUGCCCUUUCUGUUGAUGAAAAGGUGUGAUUUCCAUCCAUUAUGUUAGUUGUUAUGCUUUUCUCACAUCAAAGAUAGACAUGCAUUUGAAAUACCAAGACACGAGCAAGCUAUAUCUGUUUAUCUUUUAUGGAAAACAUUUACCUAAAUAUGUACAGAUUCUUUGAUAUUACUUUUAAAAGCAGAUGCAUCUGUAUUGGGUGUUAAAAGAAUCAGGAAAAUGUGUGGAAAGACUUGUUAUAUGCCCAAAACACUUAACUCAAAAACAGCUGCAUAUGAAGAUGUUAACUGCUUGCUUUUUAUGCAUAUAUUUAAGUCCUCAAUUUUUGAUGCUUUGACAACCGGGCUAUUUUACGCAGACAAUUGCAUUUUGUGUAAGGUCUAUAGACUGAAUGUAUAUGCCAUAAGAGUACAUGUUGAAUUUGUGCUAUUUGCAGAAUCAUUUGUUUUCUGAUCAAUUAUUUAUGUUGUAUAUACUAAAUUGAGUUUUCUAAUGUAUAAGCAGGUGACUUUGAUUCACCUUGAGGAUAGGCCUAGACCAGGGGUGUUAGAUGUUAUUUCUGAAUUGAAAGAUAAAGCAAAAGUCCGAGUAAUGAUGUUAACUGGUGACCACAAAUUAAGUGCAUGGAGAGUAGCUAAUGCUGUUGGCAUAAAUGAAGUCUACUGCAGCCUAAAGCCAGAGGAUAAACUCAAUCAUGUGAAGAGGAUUUCAGGGGAUAUGGGUGAGCCCCAGAUUCUUAUUAAGUUAAAUAUUUUGAUAUUCAGUAGAUAUUUAGUGGCAAAUUCGUAUUCCAUAUCUCAGUGGAGUAUUGAAGUAUUGUGUGAAUCAUGUACGUGAUUACCAUCUUUAUAUUAAAAUGAUCAGCCAAAGAUCAAGUUACAUUUUGUCCACCUUCAUGGCAGGAGGAGGUUUGAUCAUGGUAGGUGAAGGUAUCAAUGAUGCACCAGCUCUGGCUGCUGCAACUGUUGGAAUUGUAUUAGCACAUCGUGCUAGUGCAACUGCUAUAGCAGUUGCAGAUGUCCUAUUGCUUCAGGACAACAUUUCUGGUGUUCCAUUCAGUAUAGCCAAGGCUCGCCAAACAACUUCACUGGUACUCAGUUAAUCCCUUCCUUAUUCCUGUUCUCUGAUUAUGCAGACAAUUUACACGUGCAAUUUAACAUGCAGGUCAAGCAAAAUGUGGCCCUUGCCUUAACUUGUAUAAUCUUGGCCUCUCUCCCAUCAGUCUUGGGGUUUCUUCCGCUUUGGCUGACGGUAUGAUCAAUUUGAUGAUUGCAUUGUCUUGCAAAAACUUAUGAACCCUGUUUUAAUUUUUAGAAUAAAAACAUGGUCCAUGACACCCGAAACUGUUCCUGUCGACUUACAUCUGUUGAAGCUGUAUGUAUAUUAUAAGUAACUAGCGUGUAUAUAUCAAUCUGACAUCAUGAACUGAGCUCCUCUUCUGUCUCGGGUAAUAUACAGGUUCUCCUGCACGAAGGGGGUACUCUUCUUGUUUGCCUCAACUCUAUCCGUGCACUAAAUGACCCGUCAUGGUCCUGGGGGCAGGAUCUAAGGAAUUUGAUAGGUAAACUCAAAUCAAAACUUGCAUUAUUGAGACAUAACGCCACUUCAAGCCCCAUCCAGACUGCACCUUUGUAAACUAAUACUUAGCUUAGACUUGGUGAGAAAUUUUUCCUUAAAUUCUUUUUUUGUAGUUAAGAGAUGGCUCAUUCUCAUAUUGUUGUUUAUAAGCAAGAGUCCAAAACUGUAAAAAGUUGAUACAUCAAUGAAUCAAUGAAUAAUAUUUGGUUGUUUGACCCCUUUUUAAGUUAAAUAGUUUCAACUUGCUUAAAAGCAAGUAGUGAGAAUGAAUAAGCUGUUGCUUUCCUGAUUUUCGUGUUUGAGGUCUUUCCUGUGCUGUGAGCUGAGUAAGUAUUGAAUGUCAAAGUUUGGUGAUGUUCCCUCAUUUAAGUCGAUGGAAUUUCAAACAAUAAUCGGGAAAGAAAGAACAUAUAUGUUUCUACAUGAAAACAUUUAAUAACAUUGCGGUCACGUGAUCUUAAGCCAUAAGUUUUACUAUCCGUAAAUUUUAUAUUAUAUGCGUUACAUUGUAAUAGUAAGAAAACGGUGGUACACAUUUAAUAACCUCCUUAUGUUUAUAUAAAAAUAAAAUAAAAAGCAAACCCUGUUCAUGAUUGUGAUUGAUGAGGGUGAAGUUGACCAAGUAUAGCCAUUUAGCAUUUGGAUUUUACUCAAACCAUUUCCUACGUACAUAUUAAAUUAUAUACACCAUAUUAUUUUUUGUACUUCAUGCCUUAUCACCGCCAAUAUUAUAUUCAAACAAGGAUGCUUAAAGAAAACUUCGAGAAUGUUCUAACCAACGUAAACAAAAGAAAGAACUUUUCUAAGAUGGAUUUUAAUCCUGAAAUUUGAUAUCAUUUAGAAAAACCCACAUUAUUAUUGUAACAAUAGCAGUUGAUUUCAACUUACUAAUAAGAUUAUAAAAAGUAAAAAAUGAAAUCUUAAAUUUUAGUAUAAUAAAGGGAUUAAAAGUAAGAUGAGAGUUGAUUGGAUGGGCUCGUGUUGUAUGAACAUAUCGUGAAACCGUAUGCUCUUUAAUUUAAAUUAUUAUUUUUUCAAAAAUAGUUUGGAGUUGGGAGGUUAAAAUUUUGGGUUGCGUGAGUUCAAAAUGGAUUGUAACAUAAAAUGUCACCCUUAAGCUAAACGACAAUAGCUUCACACCGACAACCUUUGUGAUGUCGCCCCAUGUUUUUUUCAUUUUAUUUUUGGCCCAACUUGCUCUUAAAGCUCAAAAAAGCUGAGAGUAUAAAUUCCACUUCAAAUUCAAGAUCUGAAAGUUUGAUUUGAGAUAAAUGAAAUUAAUUAAUCUUUGAUUAUACUGUAUAUGGUGCAAAGAAUCACUAAAAAUAGAGGAUUAAGAGGCUGCAUUAGCAGAGUGAUGGCUAUGUUUGCCAAUUCUAUCUUGGAGAGUUUAGAAUUGAUUCCUUGUAACAUGAUGGGUCUUUUUAGUAAAAUUCAAUUUCGACCCUCCACAACAUGAUGGUAAGGUGUGGGAUAUAACCAUUUUUCUUCAAACAGCUAAUGUAAGUUCUUAUAAUCAAAUUAGUGGUUAAAGAAAGAAGUGAGGGUUGUUAGCAUUUCAGAUAUUUUUGGUUGACUUCACCCUCAACCAAUAAAUAUUUCUUCUCACACUUCCCAUUUCAUUUUUAAUCAAAACGUGUCCCCUUCACCUUCCACAAAAUUUCAUCCCUUCUCUAUUACCAAAAAUUCAUUUUUCCCUUGUGCUCACCAUUUGCUUUACUUCCUUAAACCAUCAAAACAACCAUGUCCCACACCUAUCGAUAAACAUUAAUUAACAAGUAACAUAUUUGUCUAAUAAUAAUAAUAAUAAUAAUAAUAAUAAUAAAAGGCAAAUUGUUUUUCACUUGAAUGGUAGUCUCCCUUCUUUGCUAACAAUUGAACGGUAGUUCAUUUUUAAAAAUUAAAAAUUUAUAUUUUAUCUAAUAUAUUUAUAUAAAAAAAGGAAGUUAAUUUAAAAUAAGAAAGCUAAAGUAAGGUUGGUUAGAAGUGUUUUCGAAAAAUGAAAAUUUUUAAGUACAUAACAAAAAAUAAUUUAUACUUACAAAAACAUAUACAAAUCUUGUCUUGUUUUCAGUUCCCUGUUUUAAGAAGUAUAUUUAUAGUUCAGAUUUGCAUGCAAAAAAUAAUUUAAAUUUAGAUAAGAAAACAAAACCAAUAAAAGAGACGUGAGAUUGAAAUUUCUAAAGGAAAUUUUUUCCCUUCUUUUUCCGGUGUCUUCCUUCACUAAUAUCUACUAAAAACAAGGCUAAGAGACAGGUAAAUUUUAAUUAGAAAAGUCGCCCUUUUUUUCUUUUACUUGUCAUUUUUUAGCUUUUUCACCCAUCUCUCUCUCCGUAAAAUGAACAAAAUUAUUCACCGCCUAAUUCCCAUACCAAGAAAAAACACAGCCCAGUUUUUUCUCAUCUUUUACUCUCAUUUUUAACCUUUCACUCGAUCUUACUCAUCCCGACUCGGUUCACAGCCAUAAGAUUCCUGAACCCCCCAUCCAAACACAUCCCCAUUCCCGCUCCUCCCGGAACUGCGCCGUUUUGCUGCUGCUGCUGUUGCUGCAUCUGCGUCAUGUAAUUCCUCACCUCAACCCUUAUCAUCUCUUGCAUCACCGCCAUAAACUCCGCACUGAAACCCAUCACCCCACCUCCCCUUUCUUCACUCCGAUUCUGAGUUGACUCCGUUAUUGGCUGGGUUGACACCACCUCACAUGACUCCACCCCCGGUAAAGAC
This 33276-nucleotide long non-coding RNA is filed under the name Gossypium barbadense (sea-island cotton). Its description in RNAcentral is "long non-coding RNA (GBAR_LNC010489)". The record is from RNAcentral. Lineage: Eukaryota; Viridiplantae; Streptophyta; Magnoliopsida; Malvales; Malvaceae.